GAGCUGACCCCGCUCUCUGUGCACCUACUUUUGCUGCGUUUGGUGCUGAGCCUGAAGUCCCAGGACAGGCGGCUGAGGGGGAAAGAUGGUGUGAAUUGGGUGGGCAGAGACAACUGAAAGCCACAGGACCCGGUUGGCACCUUUUUGGCCGCCUGCGCCUUUGCCUGCAGCCCCGCUCCCUGGGUCACCCGAAGGAGGAGCUGGCGCUCUUUCCGGGCGCAGAAGCACCCGACCCACGCUGGAGGAAACGGUCCCUCUGGGCAGGAGAAGCUUUGGGCCUGGCUGGAGCACACUCACGGAACCACGCCAACGCCUGGCCUGUAGCCAGCUCCCACCUCCCCUCCCACCUUCUAAAAUGCUUGCGGAUCUCACGUGGCCGACCCUAACCAGAUACACAUGGGGAAAGGAAUCAGGUGGCACACAUACCGCCUUUACUCCAUAGAGAACUUCCAAUUGUGGGUAAGAACAAAGCCCCACCUCUUCCUAAUAGAUGCAGUUUUCCACCUGCAGCCAAAAAGACAACCUGUUAUUAGCUUUUUUCCCAGAGGACAGGCAUCUCUAUGAAACUGCCAUUGCAAAAUUUGCCGACAGUGAGAUAACCAGCUCCAUUUUGCUUCUAACCUCCAUGCCCUCCUUGUUUACUGCUGCACGCAGGUUGAACUGUGGGAGGAACUUAGUUUAAAACAAAGAUGAUAACAGCCCUUUCCCAAAGGAAACCUUUCCUGGGGAUUAGCCUGCUUUUGUGGGACCAACAGAUUAGCCACAAGAUUAGAAACUACGGUUGAAGAGUCACGCAGCGGGAGGCUACAGGAUUCUGACCCUCCCCAAACUGCUCCUGGCGAUAACAUCACCAUCGUAAAGCCUAAGAUCAGCACUUGGUGGGUCACCUGGCACCACCCAGGCUCAUCUGAUGUUGUGGCACCCAGGAACUGACUCAGUGCGAAAACAGCUUCGACUCCCUGUGAUUUCAUCUCUGACCUGACCAAUGGGUACUUCUGACUCACUGGCUGCCCCCCACCCACCAGCUUAUCUUUAAAAACUCCAAACCCCAGAUGCUCAGGGAGACCGAGUAAUAAUAAAACUCCAGUCUCCCACACAGCUAGCUCUGCGUGAAUUACCUUUUCUCUGUUGCAAAUGCCCUUUCUUGAUAAAUUGGCUGUCUAGGUAACAGGGAAGGUGAACCCACUGGGCAGUUACACUUUUAUCCACCCUUCCAGCUGGAUCACGCGCCCUCUUCAAUGACAUGACACGCAGCUAGAGUGUAUGAGCUUGCUGCCGGCACCUUCCGUCCUGGAUCGCAUAGCAAGGCCUCAAUGGACAGCCAGGUGCCUGGUCCGGUCCCACUUUUUUUUCUGUCCUGUUCUCGUUUCCUCUUUGCUUGGCCAAAGAGGGUUGGGCCAGGGUCCUGAGUGCAAAGGCUUGGCUUGGUGAAUUAAAGUGGCAGUAGCCGUGUGGCAGAGAAAAUUUGUAGAUGGGUGAAAUCCUGGGCCUACACAGUGACAAAGUGUAUAUAGACAGCCAGCCUAGUUGGUGGAUGUGACAACCCCAGACUCUUCUAGAUUUGUGGAUCCGUGCACCUGCCAGACCUGUCUCUGAGCCAUCUGGGGAGGCUGGGUCGGCACAGACGCAACCCAGUCUCCUCCCACCUCCGAGAGUGCAGUGUCCUGAAUGGAGAACCCCAGCACCCAGAAGCAUCCACUGAAGGACGUAAGUAGGACAAGGCCAACUGUGGCUGUUCC
Molecule: long non-coding RNA, 1739 nt
Filed under: Homo sapiens (human)
Lineage: Eukaryota; Metazoa; Chordata; Mammalia; Primates; Hominidae
Description: non-protein coding NOP14-AS1:4
Source: RNAcentral